Molecule: long non-coding RNA, 1001 nt
Organism: Cyprinus carpio (common carp)
Lineage: Eukaryota; Metazoa; Chordata; Actinopteri; Cypriniformes; Cyprinidae
Source: Ensembl
GGACAAUGGUGUAAAACUAAGGUAAAUUACGUUGGCUUGCUCAUCGGAUGUGGUGGCAUCGAACCGCAGUCCAGCCGUACGCAAGCAAUCCAAAACAUAAAGACACCCACUAAUAUCUCUGAGCUACAAAGCUUUCUGGGAGUGUGCAAUUACUUACGACAGUUCAUCGAGAACUACGCUGACAUCGCACGACCACUAACUUUCCCUCCUGAAAAAGGAUGAACCCUUCAUUUGGUCGGAAGCUCAGGACACAGCUAUGAGCAAGCUCAAAGAACGCCUAUGCUCCGCCCCAUGCCUGGCCUACCCUGACCCAGAAAAAGAAUUCUAUCUGGAAGCUGGAUUCUCCAAUCAUUGCCUCAGUGCAGGCCUCUACCAGCUCCAAGACAAAGACAAACGAGUGGUCGCUUAUGCCAGCAAAACAUUGCUUCCCCCAGAAUGCAAAUACUCAGACUGUGAAAAAGCUUUGCUUUGCACUGUAUGGGCCAUUCAGUGUUUCUCCAAAUACAUUGGAGCACAGAAAGUCAUCAUAGAAACGUGUCACCAACCAGUGACCUUCCUCAACAGCCAACAAAUCAGGGAUGGCGUGGUAACCAACACACGCAUAGCUACAUGGCUAAUGACGCUUCAAGGAUGGGACGUGGAGGCAAAAUAUGCCCAAAACCACAAAUCAUCUCUAGGUAACGGGCUAGCAGCCUGCCAAAACUGUUCAACGGACAUGCUGUACACAUCAGCAGAACCCAAAGAACUGUCACAACCACAACUGACAAACCACAGGUACUUCGAGGAGAAUGUGUGUGAAGGAAUGCCCACAGCAUAUGUCGAUGGCUGCUCUUACAAUCAACAGGGCAACUUGAAAGCUGGAGCUGGUGUGGUCUGGCUCAACAAUGACCCUUGCCCACCGCAACAAUUCAAAUUAGGCCCUUACUCAUCACAAUAUGCAGAAAUAGCGGCCAUCCUCAUCACCCUACAACUUGCUGCAUCCCACAACAUCAAAGAACUCC